RNAcentral lists this ribosomal RNA (1474 nucleotides) under uncultured bacterium. Its description in RNAcentral is "partial 16S ribosomal RNA". It matches the Rfam family "Bacterial small subunit ribosomal RNA". The record is from RNAcentral.
AUGGCUCAGGAUGAACGCUAGCGGCAGGCUUAACACAUGCAAGUCGAGGGGCAGCGAGUAGAUUGCUUGCAAUCUAUGUCGGCGACCGGCGCACGGGUGCGUAACGCGUAUGCAACCUACCCAUUACAGGGGGAUAACACUGAGAAAUCGGUACUAAUACCCCAUAACAUCCAGGGAGGCAUCUUCUUGGGUUGAAAACUCCGGUGGUAAUGGAUGGGCAUGCGUUGUAUUAGUUAGUUGGUGGGGUAACGGCUCACCAAGACAACGAUACAUAGGGGGACUGAGAGGUUAACCCCCCACAUUGGUACUGAGACACGGACCAAACUCCUACGGGAGGCAGCAGUGAGGAAUAUUGGUCAAUGGACGCAAGUCUGAACCAGCCAUGCCGCGUGCAGGAAGACGGCUCUAUGAGUUGUAAACUGCUUUUGUACGAGGGUAAACGCAGAUACGCGUAUCUGUCUGAAAGUAUCGUACGAAUAAGGAUCGGCUAACUCCGUGCCAGCAGCCGCGGUAAUACGGAGGAUUCAAGCGUUAUCCGGAUUUAUUGGGUUUAAAGGGUGCGUAGGCGGUCGGAUAAGUUAGAGGUGAAAUCCCGGGGCUCAACUUCGGAAUUGCCUCUGAUACUGUUCGGCUAGAGAGUAGUUGCGGUAGGCGGAAUGUAUGGUGUAGCGGUGAAAUGCUUAGAGAUCAUACAGAACACCGAUUGCGAAGGCAGCUUACCAAGCUACUUCUGACGUUGAGGCACGGAAGCGUGGGGAGCAAACAGGAUUAGAUACCCUGGUAGUCCACGCAGUAAACGAUGAUAACUCGUUGUCGGCGAUACAAUGUCGGUGACUAAGCGAAAGCGAUAAGUUAUCCACCUGGGGAGUACGUUCGCAAGAAUGAAACUCAAAGGAAUUGACGGGGGCCCGCACAAGCGGAGGAACAUGUGGUUUAAUUCGAUGAUACGCGAGGAACCUUACCCGGGCUUGAAAGUUAGUGACAGAUCUGGAAACAGGUCUUCCCUUCGGGGCACGAAACUAGGUGCUGCAUGGUUGUCGUCAGCUCGUGCCGUGAGGUGUCGGGUUAAGUCCCAUAACGAGCGCAACCCCUACCGUCAGUUGCCAGCAGGUCAAGCUGGGCACUCUGGCGGGACUGCCGGUGUAAGCCGAGAGGAAGGUGGGGAUGACGUCAAAUCAGCACGGCCCUUACGUCCGGGGCUACACACGUGUUACAAUGGCAGGUACAGAGGGCAGCUACCCAGCGAUGGGAUGCGAAUCUCGAAAGCCUGUCUCAGUUCGGAUUGGAGGCUGAAACCCGCCUCCAUGAAGUUGGAUUCGCUAGUAAUCGCGCAUCAGCCAUGGCGCGGUGAAUACGUUCCCGGGCCUUGUACACACCGCCCGUCAAGCCAUGGAAGCUGGGGGUGCCUGAAGUUCGUGACCGCAAGGAGCGACCUAGGGCAAAACCGGUGACUGGGGCUAAGUCGUAACAAGGU